This 368-nucleotide ribosomal RNA is filed under the name uncultured organism. RNAcentral describes it as "bacterial SSU rRNA". It matches the Rfam family "Bacterial small subunit ribosomal RNA", at positions 526 to 896 of the family's 1533-position model. The record is from RNAcentral.
CGUAGGUGGCAAGCGUUGUCCGGAUUUAUUGGGUUUAAAGGGUGCGUAGGCGGCCCCGUAAGUCAGUGGUGAAAUAUCUCAGCUUAACUGAGAGGGUGCCAUUGAUACUGCGGGGCUUGAGUACAGAUGAGGUAGGCGGAAUUGACGGUGUAGCGGUGAAAUGCAUAGAUAUCGUCAAGAACUCCGAUAGCGAAGGCAGCUUACUAAGCUGUAACUGACGCUGAGGCACGAAAGUGUGGGGAUCAAACAGGAUUAGAUACCCUGGUAGUCCACACUGUAAACGUUGAUGACUCGAUGUUGGCGAUACACAGCCAGCGUCCAAGAGCAAUCGUUAAGUCAUCCACCUGGGGAGUACGCCGGCAACGGUG